CAGCAGCCGCGGGAAUACAGAGGAUGCAAGCGUUAUCCGGAAUGAUUGGGCGUAAAGCGUCUGUAGGUGGCUUUUCAAGUCCGCCGUCGAAUCCCAGGGCUCAACCCUGGACAGGCGGUGGAAACUACCGAGCUGGAGUACGGUAGGGGCAGAGGGAAUUUCCGGUGGAGCGGUGAAAUGCGUUGAGAUCGGAAGGAACACCAACGGCGAAAGCACUCUGCUGGGCCGACACUGACACUGAGAGACGAAAGCUAGGGGAGCAAAUGGGAUUAGAGACCCCCGUAGUCCCUGUCUCUUAUAC
RNAcentral lists this ribosomal RNA (301 nucleotides) under uncultured bacterium. RNAcentral's name for it is "partial 16S ribosomal RNA". It matches the Rfam family "Bacterial small subunit ribosomal RNA", at positions 509 to 807 of the family's 1533-position model. The record is from RNAcentral.